UACGUAGGGUGCGAGCGUUAAUCGGAAUUACUGGGCGUAAAGCGUGCGCAGGCGGUUCGUUGUGUCGGUGGUGAAAGCCCCGGGCUUAACCUGGGAAUGGCCAUGGAAACUGGCGAACUGGAGUGUGGCAGAGGGGGGUGGAAUUCCGCGUGUAGCAGUGAAAUGCGUAGAGAUGCAGAGGAACACCGAUGGCGAAGGCAGCCCCCUGGGCUAGCACUGACGCUCAGGCACGAAAGCGUGGGGAGCAAACAGG
RNAcentral lists this ribosomal RNA (253 nucleotides) under uncultured bacterium. RNAcentral's name for it is "partial 16S ribosomal RNA". It matches the Rfam family "Bacterial small subunit ribosomal RNA", at positions 524 to 776 of the family's 1533-position model. The record is from RNAcentral.